UGGGGAAUUUUGGACAAUGGGGGAAACCCUGACUCAGCCAUCCCGCGUGUGCGAUGAAGGCCUUCGGGUUGUAAAGCACUUUUGGCAGGAAAGAAACGUCAUGGGUUAAUACCCCGUGAAACUGACGGUACCUGCAGAAUAAGCACCGGCUAACUACGUGCCAGCAGCCGCGGUAAUACGUAGGGUGCAAGCGUUAAUCGGAAUUACUGGGCGUAAAGCGUGCGCAGGCGGUUCGGAAAGAAAGAUGUGAAAUCCCAGAGCUCAACUUUGGAACUGCAUUUUUAACUACCGGGCUAGGGUGUGUCAGAGGGAGGUGGAAUUCCGCGUGUAGCAGUGAAAUGCGUAGAUAUGCGGAGGAACACCGAUGGCGAAGGCAGCCUCCUGGGAUAACACUGACGCUCAUGCACGAAAGCGUGGGGAGCAAACAGG
Molecule: ribosomal RNA, 429 nt
Filed under: Acidobacteriota bacterium
Lineage: Bacteria; Pseudomonadati; Acidobacteriota
Description: Acidobacteria bacterium partial 16S ribosomal RNA
Rfam family: Bacterial small subunit ribosomal RNA
Source: RNAcentral